AUCACUCCUGAAUCCAUCCAUGAAUCCAUCCUUCAAUCCAUGAUUCAUUAGCUCGAUCGAGCUCGUCGCCGGAUUGGAGCUCCAUCCAUGAGUCAGUACUCAGUAGCAGGGGCGGAGCUCUGUAGGGGCUAAACCGGGCCAUGGCCCGCCCAGGAUUUUGACCCAAUUUUUUUUAUAUAGGCAUCUCCCAAGCCCACUAGCCCAGCCCACGUGCAUCCUCUCGCUUUCACGCACAGAGCAGCCUUGCUCAAAAAAACACGCACAGAGCAGCCGGAGAGAGGCAGGCAGCGCUAGGAAUCCCUACUCCCUAAUUCCCAAACUGUCCCACAGUCGAGCAGGGAGCACAGGAGCAAGCCGCUGCCGUCGGCGAACCGACAGCGUCUAUCCUCUCUCGCCGGAAUCCCUGUAUCUCACAGCCACGGUUCAGCCCCUUGCUUUCCUCCCUUCCCCCGACUCUCUGCACCUGCUCACAGAUGACAUCUGCUUGGGCUCGGCCACGCCGUCGUGCUACUGGCCUGCGGCCUGCCGAACCACUUCUGGCGACUGACGCAUGAGCAGAUCACUGGAUGAGCUCUCCUAGUCUCCAGUCUCCUACUGUCCUCCAAGAGUAGAGCAACUGUCAGAAGCAAGAGGUAAUCAUGGGCAAGGAAAAUCAAUCUCAGAGAAGAAUUGAUUUGGUUUUUAAAAGGAAAAGAGAUGACAUAACUCGAGUUCAGGAAAACCAGAUAUUGCCGUUGCUUGAAUUGGAACAACAUAACCAAAACCAGUACGAAUAGGUUCGAGCAAAUGAAGCUGUUACAUUCGAAGGUAUUGAGUUCUUGCAGCGUGCAGCGAGACCCUGGAAGAUGAGAAUCUUGCCAAUAAUCUGUUAGUUCACAUAGAGGGUGGAAUUCUAGAGAACUACAGCCACGAAGAUGUCGUUGCAGAUUUUAGAAGCAAGGGUGACCGGAGAGUCGAUUUGUAGUAUGUGAGUAAGUCACAUGUCUAAUGUCUCAAAGCUUUUGUAUUAGCUAACUUAAUAGUGGUUCAGGGUUAAAAUGUAUUUUGUUGUAUAUAUACAUACUGCUUGCUCCAUCCGGUAAUCAUACUGAUGCUUAUGAUUCAGAAUUUCAAAAAAAAUUGUGCUCUUGUUUA
Long non-coding RNA from Triticum aestivum (bread wheat), 1134 nucleotides. RefSeq lists it as uncharacterized. The transcript has 2 exons. Lineage: Eukaryota; Viridiplantae; Streptophyta; Magnoliopsida; Poales; Poaceae. The record is from RefSeq and is a predicted model, not a curated record.